UAUCACCACCGAUCCCACAGAAAUACAAACUACCAUCAGAGAAUACUAUAAACACCUCUAUACAAAUAAACUAGAAAAUCUAGAAGAAACAGAUAAAUUACUGGACACAUACACCCUCCCAAGACUAACUCAGAAGAAGUUGAACCUCUGAAUAGACCAAUAACAGGCUCUGAAAUUAGGCAAUAAUUAAUAGCCUACCAACCAAAAAAAGUCCAGGACCAGAUGGAUUCACAGCCAAAUUCUACCAGAGGUAUAAAGAGGAGCUGGUACCAUUCCUUCCGAAACUAUUCCAAUCAAUAGAAAAAGAGGGAAUCCUCCCUAACUCAUUUUAUGAGGCCAGCAUCA
Molecule: long non-coding RNA, 345 nt
Filed under: Pan troglodytes (chimpanzee)
Lineage: Eukaryota; Metazoa; Chordata; Mammalia; Primates; Hominidae
Description: long non-coding RNA NONPTRT013528
Source: RNAcentral